AGCCCAGCGUGACAAGCUAAGCAAACUUUUAAAAAUCCAUUCUAAUGCAGUUGUUCCAUUUGCAUGAGGCAAGCUUCAUUUUCCUGAAAUAUUUUCUUUCAGUAUUUUUGCCAAAAGCAAAUUUUGUCACAAUAAAACACAUUUCCAUGGGAACAUUUGUUUUGGCAAAGCAGGAUGAUUUGAAAGAAAAAUGUUUCACUGGAAAAAUUAUGGCCAGCUUUAGUAGCUGUGGCUCCUACUGGCACAGGGAAGAUAUAAAACUUUCAGACUUGGGGAAGACAAAUCCUCCAACUCCCUCCUCUCAGUCUCUGGCACUGAAGAUGUAUCAGGUUAUCUUAGUGUUUGGACCCUAAGAGGCCAUAGGCAACCAGCUUGAAGUGAAGCAGAACAAUCCAGCUUUUGGUUUUAAACUUUCAGAAUAUUCCACUGAGAUUGGAUUUGACUUCAGAAGUGCAGCCUCCCCAAACUUCCUUGGGAUAACAGGGCAUUCUGUACUGCUAAUUAGUAAAUAAGUAAGUAAUGAUGGGACUUUAAAGCCCAUCCACAUCUAGAAUUGCCUGCACUGGUUGAGCAAAUAUUUUUUUGUUUGCCUUUUAGGUAGUUAGAGAGAUGAUUAGUUAGACUGAUGCUGUAGCCAUAACAGUCCAGGAAUUAUGCAAAGGGCAAGGAUUCUCAGAGCACUAUCUUUUCUUGUCCAACUACCUAGUUGGAAUAGAGUUCAACAAGCUUUCAAAUGCAAAACUUUCUUCAUGAGGUAUCUUUUAUUGCGCCAACUGCAGUCCUUUUAAAUCCUUGCCCCUCUCAUGUUUGCCUUUUCUCACGCACAUGUCUGUAUUGCAUUCUUGCUGGCCUGUAGAUGUCACACUUUCCAUUUGACAGAAGGGCUGGUUGCAUGGAGGGAAGCAACUGUUCACUCUUAGCAGGUAACUGACCAAUUGAAUGCUGGCUAAAGGGUUUUCCUUUAUACAUUUAUGGCACUUUAAUUCCUUAUGCAUGAUCACAUCUUAGCCAGUCAGCAAAGACCUGCUCUGAAGAGAGUAUUCCUGGUACAGUUUUUGUAAAACAUUAACUCUUCCCAAAGUGGAGAUGGAGAACCUUGCACACCUCAAGAAGUCACAACAGAAUUAUCUGUGGUGGGGCCAGCCAGGCAGGGACAAUGCCAACCAUGUCAUAUUCCCUGCAGGGCAAAGUUCUUCUAUUUUCUGGACUCCUCCCAUGGUAGACGGUAAUGUUAAUUGGCCAAUCAUGCUGAGAUUCAGCGUCUCACUUCCAGCAUUGCCAAUCCCAAGAGAUCAAAGAUCAUGAGUCCGAUCUCUCUAAACAUGAGCUAUUUUAAUAAGUGAAUUGUGGUUUUUCAGUCUUCUUUGACUUUUUUUUUUUUAACUUUUCCCUCCUCCUCUGCCUGUGUAUGGGUGAGGAUUCCAGGGUAAAGAAACAUUAAUGCACAGAGAAAAUGCCCAUCUCUCCCUUGCUGCGCAAAUGGCGAUUCCAUUUAUACCGCGCUCAACCCUGUGAUAAGGGAGCUGCCAUCCAUUUCUUACUACUGUCUCAGCUGACUCUUCCCUUCCCUACUUUUCCUCUAGAACCCACCCCUCUUCCUACUGUACUUGCUCAAAUAUCUGUCUCAAGCCUACUAAGGAGGUACACUGCUACAAUGGCCAGGUUGAAAAGGUGAAUAUGUUUGACAGUAUCCUCCUCUUUGUUUCUAGAGGAAAGCACUGGAACCUCUGGGUGCUAGUACAAAACAGAGAACUAUUGUUCAUAAGAAAGAAUUGAACCAUGUGCUCAAGGGUCAAAGGACAGCAAGUUGGGGGGGUUUAAUAUUGUACAGGAGAAGGUGAGCCAUAUAGUAGACUCUGGCUCCUGUUAAAUAAGAAGGCAUGUUGGUUCCACCCAGCUAGAGGCUUGAACGUUUGCCAAGAGCUGUGUGUGGUUCAAAGCUCCACCUUCUAAGAAGGCAGAGUUUCAGCCUGUAACAAGCUGCUUUCAAAAGGGUGCAAAACCCUAAGCCCUGUCCAGAGGGGAAGGGAGAAGAGGCAGAGGUGGGGCCUGAGGAUCUGAGACCAGCCAGGGCUGGCUCAGACUUACAUUACCUCCUGCAGUCUUUGGGCUCACAUUUAUAUUCCUAAACUUCAAAUGAGGGGGAAAAAACUAAAAUAAGAAAAACAUAUUGAAACUUCAUCUGAAAAAAGAAACAAAUUAAAUGAACAACUGCUCUACAAAUGUGCUCUAUACUGGCUAAUUCCCGGCAGCUGCACAUGACCUUGCUGGCGUGAGGAGGUAUGGCAGACGAAUAACAAAGGGAGAUUCCAAAGUGGAAGAGCAAGCGUGACAUCUCCAGGAUACACACUCUCUUACAGGAACGUAUGCUUGCCUGGUACAAAGACAAAACUUGAUUAAAAAUGUGGA
Molecule: long non-coding RNA, 2409 nt
Organism: Alligator sinensis (Chinese alligator)
Lineage: Eukaryota; Metazoa; Chordata; Crocodylia; Alligatoridae
Exons: 4
Source: RefSeq, a predicted model, not a curated record